UACGGAGGGAGCUAGCGUUGUUCGGAAUUACUGGGCGUAAAGCGCACGUAGGCGGCUAUUCAAGUCAGAGGUGAAAGCCCAGGGCUUAACCUUGGAACUGCCUUUGAAACUAGAUAGCUAGAAUCUUGGAGAGGUCAGUGGAAUUCCGAGUGUAGAGGUGAAAUUCGUAGAUAUUCGGAAGAACACCAGUGGCGAAGGCGACUGACUGGACAAGUAUUGACGCUGAGGUGCGAAAGCGUGGGGAGCAAACAGG
This 253-nucleotide ribosomal RNA is filed under the name uncultured Sphingomonadaceae bacterium. RNAcentral's name for it is "partial 16S ribosomal RNA". It matches the Rfam family "Bacterial small subunit ribosomal RNA", at positions 524 to 776 of the family's 1533-position model. Lineage: Bacteria; Pseudomonadati; Pseudomonadota; Alphaproteobacteria; Sphingomonadales; Sphingomonadaceae. The record is from RNAcentral.